This 407-nucleotide ribosomal RNA is filed under the name uncultured bacterium. RNAcentral's name for it is "partial 16S ribosomal RNA". It matches the Rfam family "Bacterial small subunit ribosomal RNA", at positions 28 to 526 of the family's 1533-position model. The record is from RNAcentral.
GACGAACGCUGGCGGCGUGCCUAAUACAUGCAAGUCGACCUUAGUGGCGGACGGGUGAGUAAUGCCUAGGAAUCUGACUGGUAGUGGGGGAUGACGUCGGCAAACGGGCGCUAAUACCGCACCCUAGCCGAUGUGACUAGGUCGGAUUAGCUAGUUGGUGGGGUAAAGGCCUACCAAGGAGACGAUCCUGAACUGGUCUGAGAGGAUGAUCAGUCAGACGGGAACUGAGACACGGUCCAGACUCCUACGGUAGGAAGCAGUGGGGAAUAUUGGACAAUGGGGGAAAGCCGGAUACAGCCAUGCCGCGUGUGUGAAGAAGGUGUUCGGAUUGUAAAGCACUGUAAGGUGUGAGGCGUUACCAACAGAAUAAGCACCGGCUAACUACGUGCCAGCCGCCGCGGUAAUAC